RNAcentral lists this ribosomal RNA (660 nucleotides) under uncultured bacterium. Its description in RNAcentral is "bacterial SSU rRNA". It matches the Rfam family "Bacterial small subunit ribosomal RNA", at positions 94 to 788 of the family's 1533-position model. The record is from RNAcentral.
AGUGGCGGACGGGUGAGUAACGCGUGAGAAUCUGCCUUGGGGUCGGGGACAACCACUGGAAACGGUGGCUAAUACCGGAUACGCCUUCGGGUAAAAGAUUUAUUGCCCUAAGAGGAGCUCGCGUCUGAUUAGCUAGUUGGUGAGGUAAGAGCUCACCAAGGCAGCGAUCAGUAGCUGGUCUGAGAGGACGAUCAGCCACACUGGGACUGAGACACGGCCCAGACUCCUACGGGAGGCAGCAGUGGGGAAUUUUCCGCAAUGGGCGAAAGCCUGACGGAGCAAGACCGCGUGAGGGAGGAAGGCUCUUGGGUUGUAAACCUCUUUUCUCAGGGAAGAAGCUCUGACGGUACCUGAGGAAUCAGCCUCGGCUAACUCCGUGCCAGCAGCCGCGGUAAUACGGAGGAAGCAAGCGUUAUCCGGAAUUAUUGGGCGUAAAGCGUCCGCAGGUGGCGAUUCAAGUCUGCUGUCAAAGCACGGGGCUUAACUCCGUAAAGGCAGUGGAAACUGAAUAGCUAGAGUGCCGUAGGGGUAGAGGGAAUUCCCGGUGUAGCGGUGAAAUGCGUAGAGAUCGGGAAGAACAUCGGUGGCGAAAGCGCUCUACUGGACGGCAACUGACACUCAGGGACGAAAGCUAGGGGAGCGAAUGGGAUUAGAUACCCC